GAUGAACGCUGGCGGCGUGCCUAAUACAUGCAAGUCGAGCGAACAGACGAGGAGCUUGCUCCUCUGACGUUAGCGGCGGACGGGUGAGUAGCACGUGGAUAACCUACCUAUAAGACUGGGAUAACUUCGGGAAACCGGAGCUAAUACCGGAUAAUAUAUUGAACCGCAUGGUUCAAUAGUGAAAGACGGUUUUGCUGUCACUUAUAGAUGGAUCCGCGCCGCAUUAGCUAGUUGGUAAGGUAACGGCUUACCAAGGCAACGAUGCGUAGCCGACCUGAGAGGGUGAUCGGCCACACUGGAACUGAGACACGGUCCAGACUCCUACGGGGGGCAGCAGUAGGGAAUCUUCCGCAAUGGGCGAAAGCCUGACGGAGCAACGCCGCGUGAGUGAUGAAGGUCUUCGGAUCGUAAAACUCUGUUAUUAGGGAAGAACAAAUGUGUAAGUAACUAUGCACGUCUUGACGGUACCUAAUCAGAAAGCCACGGCUAACUACGUG
This 497-nucleotide ribosomal RNA is filed under the name uncultured bacterium. RNAcentral's name for it is "partial 16S ribosomal RNA". It matches the Rfam family "Bacterial small subunit ribosomal RNA", at positions 28 to 507 of the family's 1533-position model. The record is from RNAcentral.